RNAcentral lists this ribosomal RNA (465 nucleotides) under uncultured bacterium. RNAcentral's name for it is "partial 16S ribosomal RNA". It matches the Rfam family "Bacterial small subunit ribosomal RNA", at positions 28 to 507 of the family's 1533-position model. The record is from RNAcentral.
GACGAACGCUGGCGGCGUGCUUAACACAUGCAAGUCGAACGGUGAACUCCGCUUGCGGGGGGAUCAGUGGCGAACGGGUGAGUAACACGUGGGCAACCUGCCCUCAGCUCUGGGAUAACUCCAAGAAAUUGGGGCUAAUACCGGAUAUGACCGCUGACCGCAUGGUCCGGUGGUGGAAAGAUUUAUCGGCUGGGGAUGGGCCCGCGGCCUAUCAGCUUGUUGGUGGGGUAGUGGCCUACCAAGGCGACGACGGGUAGCCGGCCUGAGAGGGUGACCGGCCACACUGGGACUGAGACACGGCCCAGACUCCUACGGGAGGCAGCAGUGGGGAAUAUUGCGCAAUGGGCGAAAGCCUGACGCAGCGACGCCGCGUGGGGGAUGACGGCCUUCGGGUUGUAAACCUCUUUCAGCAGGGACGAAGCGAAAGUGACGGUACCUGCAGAAGAAGCACCGGCCAACUACGUG